AGGAUAAUAGUUAAAAAUAAUAUUUAAAUUGCAUUUAAAAGGUAUUGAAAAUAAAUCAAUUUAUCUU
Molecule: transfer RNA, 67 nt
Filed under: Runaria sp. 'striata'
Lineage: Eukaryota; Metazoa; Arthropoda; Insecta; Hymenoptera; Blasticotomidae
Description: tRNA-Ala
Source: RNAcentral